GUUUGAUCCUGGCUCAGGAUGAACGCUGACAGAAUGCUUAACACAUGCAAGUCUUUGGCGAAGCUGUGCUUGCACAGCCUAGCCAAGGCGGACGGGUGAGUAACGCGUAAGGAACUUGCCCUGCAGUCAGGGAUAACAGACGGAAACGACUGAUAAGACCUGGUAAAGUCAGGCGGACUCAUGUCCAGCCUGAUGAAAAGAGAUGCUGCAGGAGAGCCUUGCGUCCUAUUAGCUUGUUGGUGGGGUA
This 247-nucleotide ribosomal RNA is filed under the name Ditylum brightwellii. RNAcentral describes it as "partial Bacterial small subunit ribosomal RNA". It matches the Rfam family "Bacterial small subunit ribosomal RNA", at positions 11 to 259 of the family's 1533-position model. Lineage: Eukaryota; Bacillariophyta; Thalassiosirophyceae; Lithodesmiales; Lithodesmiaceae. The record is from RNAcentral.